UCAAGCUAAAAAGAGCGCAGGGUGGAUGCCUUGGCACUAAGAGCCGAUGAAAGACGUGAUAAGCUGCGAUAAGCUACGGGGAGGAGCACAUAUCCAUUGAUCCGUAGAUUUCUGAAUGGGGAAACCCGGCUGAGCAUACCUCAGUCACCGUACACUGAAUCCAUAGGUGUACGGAGGGAACCCGGUGAACUGAAACAUCUAAGUAGCCGGAGGAAGAGAAAGAAAACUCGAUUUUCAAAGUAGCGGCGAGCGAAAUGGAAAGAGCCCAAACCGGAGUGCGUGCACUCCGGGGUUCGGACUGCAUUUAUGACUUCUGACUGUAGCGGAACGGUUCUGGAAAGACCGGCCAGAGAGGGUGAGAGCCCCGUAGGCGAAACGGAAAGAAGCAGAGCAGGAUCCAGAGUACCACGAGACACGAGAAACCUUGUGGGAAUGAGCGGGGACCACCCCGUAAGGCUAAAUACUCCUUAGUGACCGAUAGAGCAGAGUACUGUGAAGGAAAGGUGAAAAGGACCCCGGGAGGGGAGUGAAAGAGAACCUGAAACCCUGUGUUUACAAACUGUGGAAGUACCAUAUGAGUACAACCGCGUACUUUUUGUAGAACGGUCCGGCGAGUUACGUUUACUGGCGAGGUUAAGCACUUAAGGUGCGGAGCCGAAGGGAUACCAAGUCUUAACAGGGCGCAUAGCUUCUUACGAAGCAUUAGUCAGUGUACGUAGACCCGAAACCGGGUGAUCUACCCAUGUCCAGGCUGAAGUUGCCGUAAAAGGCAAUGGAGGGCCGAACGCACAUCCGUUGAAAAGGGUGGCGAUGAGGUGUGGGUAGGGGAGAAAUUCCAAUCGAACCCGGAGAUAGCUGGUUCUCCUCGAAAUAGCUUUAGGGCUAGCCUCGGUUUAGUCUGCUGGAGGUAGAGCACUGAAUUUCCUAGGGGGCGUCAAAGCUUACCGAAGAAUAUCAAACUCCGAAUGCCAGCCAGAUGAUGACCGGGAGUCAGACUGCACGAGAUAAGUUGGGUAGUCAAAAGGGAAAGAGCCCAGACCACCGGCUAAGGUCCCAAAGUACGUGUUAAGUGGAAAAGGAUGUGGGAUUUCAAAGACAACCAGGAUGUUGGCUCAGAAGCAGCCAUACAUUCAAAGAGUGCGUAAUAGCUCACUGGUCGAGAGGUCCUGCGCCGAAAAUGUCCGGGGCUGAAACACGACACCGAAGCUGUGGAAUUGACGAAUGUUAAUUGGUAGAGGAGCAUUCUUAGCGGGAUGAAGCAGUACCGAAAGGAGCUGUGGACUUCUAAGAAGAGAGAAUGCCGGAAUGAGUAGCGAGAGAGAGGUGAGAAUCCUCUCGGCCGAAUAUCUAAGGUUUCCAGAGUAAAGCUGAUCUGCUCUGGGUAAGUCGGGACCUAAGGCGAGGUCGAAAGACGUAGUCGAUGGACAACAGGUUGAGAUUCCUGUACUGCUGUAUAACAGAACUGUGGGGACACAGAGGGAGAGUGCAACCCGGGAGUGGAAAGACCGGGGCAAGCGAGGUAGGAGUCACGUAGGCAAAUCCGCGUGACAAUCCGAAGACGUGACGCAUAGCGAAAUCAAGUAGCGAAUUGCAUGAGCCAGCUGUCGAGAAAAGCCGCUAUUGUUUGUACAGUACCCGUACCGUAAACCGACACAGGUGGAUGAGGAGAGAAUCCUAAGGCCGACGGAAGAAGCAUUGUUAAGGAACUCGGCAAAAUGACCCCGUAACUUCGGGAGAAGGGGUGCCCUGUGAAAGCAGGGCCGCAGAGAAUAGGCUCAAGCAACUGUUUAGCAAAAACACAGGUCUAUGCGAAACCGAAAGGUGAGGUAUAUGGGCUGACGCCUGCCCGGUGCUGGAAGGUUAAGAGGAGAAGUCAGGCAACGAAGCUUCGAAUUUAAGCCCCAGUAAACGGCGGCCGUAACUAUAACGGUCCUAAGGUAGCGAAAUUCCUUGUCGGGUAAGUUCCGACCCGC
RNAcentral lists this ribosomal RNA (1973 nucleotides) under human gut metagenome. RNAcentral describes it as "bacterial LSU rRNA". It matches the Rfam family "Bacterial large subunit ribosomal RNA", at positions 3 to 1991 of the family's 2925-position model. The record is from RNAcentral.